GACGUCGAAUGCUCGAGCUCGCGAGCAGGAGACGGAGAACGACAACCUACGUUCUGUUUUGGCUCGUGCUCCUGAGGAGGCAAUUGAGAAGUAUAAGGCCUCAGCUGAAUAUGCUAGAGAUCUCAAGGCAUCUGUGGAACAGUAUAAGACGUCGUCUGAUUACGCUAGGGCUUUGAAUUCAUAUGGGGGGAAGGCGAUGUCAGCGUCUAUCAAAUUCUCCAAAGAGUGGAUUAUGGCCGAGCAUCCUUCUAUAGACCCCUCUGGCCUGGAUAGAUUUCUUGCGCAGUGCAAAGGAAAGGAGAGUGCACCUCAGUC
This 315-nucleotide long non-coding RNA is filed under the name Olea europaea (common olive). Its description in RNAcentral is "long non-coding RNA (OEUR_LNC004718)". The record is from RNAcentral. Lineage: Eukaryota; Viridiplantae; Streptophyta; Magnoliopsida; Lamiales; Oleaceae.